ACGGGAGGCAGCAGUGGGGGGUAUUGCGCAAUGGGGGAAACCCUGACGCAGCAACGCCGCGUGAAGGAGGAAGGCCUUCGGGUUGUAAACUUUUGUUGCAAGGGAAGAAGACAGUGACGGUACCUUGUGAGGAAGCCACGGCUAACUACGUGCCAGCAGCCGCGGUAAUACGUAGGUGGCGAGCGUUGUCCGGAUUUACUGGGUGUAAAGGGCGCGUAGGCGGGGCAGCAAGUCAGUCGUGAAAUACCGAGGCUUAACUUCGGGGCUGCGGUUGAAACUGUUGUUCUUGAGUGUCGGAGAGGAAAGCGGAAUUCCUAGUGUAGCGGUGAAAUGCGUAGAUAUUAGGAGGAACACCGGUGGCGAAGGCGGCUUUCUGGACGAUAACUGACGCUGAGGCGCGAAAGUGUGGGGAGCAAACAGGAUUAGAUACCCUGGUA
This 437-nucleotide ribosomal RNA is filed under the name uncultured Acetivibrio sp. Its description in RNAcentral is "bacterial SSU rRNA". It matches the Rfam family "Bacterial small subunit ribosomal RNA", at positions 341 to 792 of the family's 1533-position model. Lineage: Bacteria; Bacillati; Bacillota; Clostridia; Acetivibrionales; Acetivibrionaceae. The record is from RNAcentral.